AAAAAACACGCAUCAUAAACUGUGUCAUCAUGACCACUUUUUACGUGUACAGUUCAGCAGUGUUAAGUAUCUUCAUAACCUGCUCAUUUCGCAGAACUGAAACUCUAUAACCGUUAAACAACAACUGUUUUCACCUCUUCCCCCUGGUCUUUAGCAACCCACACUCUACUUUCCUUGUCUGAAUUUGACUACUUUAGGAACCUCAUAUAAGUGGAGUCAUACAGUAUUUGUCCUUUUGAGAUGGCUUGUUUUACUUAGCAUAAUGUUCAUCCAUGCUGUAGGAUGUGACAGGGUUUCCUUUCUAAGACUGCAUGGUAUUUUGUUGUACGUAUGUGGCAUUUCCCCCCCCACCCCUGCAUUUUGUUGAUCUAUUCAUUUAUGAAUGUAUAUUUGGGUCACUUCUACCUCUUGGCUAUGGUAAAUAAUGCUGCCAUGAACAUGGGUGUGCAAAUAACUUGAGACAUUGCUUUCAGUUAUUUUGGAUAUAUACCCAUAAGUGCACAAUCACUUCCAUAAAAAUCUCUGUGGACUCUACACAAUAGCAGUUUUGCUUCUUGUAUCUACAUUCUUCUAGAUCCUUAGUAAAAUCUUCCACCUUCCCUCUAAAGAGCUCCACUUGGGAGCACCUGGACCAGGUGAACUCCCAGGUGUGUCCAGCUCUAAAUCUAGUGAUCUACAGGAAUGUCCUGAGUAUGAUACUGUCCUCAUAACUAGUUCACAUUAAUGAGUAUAUCUCUGCCCCAGAAGAUGUGCACAACCAGGUCAAAGUAAAUAUCCUCCCAGAGAGCUGAGGCUCAACAGAAUAUGCCAAGGACGAGGAAUUUUCUUCUCAACACUGACCUUACUGGUUCACCUUUUUCACCAGCCACAAAACAGGAAGUGAUCAAGCUAAUAAGGUGGAUUCCCAUCCAUGAGGAUGGGGGUUUGGUCCUGGCCUCGCUUGGUGGGGUAAGGAUCCAGUGUUGCUGUGAGUUGUGGUGUAGGUCUCUGAUGCCGCUCAGAUCUGGUGUGGCUGUGGCUGUGGCUGUGGCCGGCAGCUGCAGCUCCCAUUUGACUCUUACCCUGGGAACUUCCACAUGCCUCGGGUGUGGUCAUAAAAAGCAAAACAAACAAACAAACAAAAACAAAACAAACAAACAAAAACUUAACAAGCUCAUUAACUAUAGUGCUAUGCAUUCUCACACAGAUGAAGUCAACAGAGUUUAUUUCAAUAGACGGUUUAAAAAUUUCAGGCAGAGUAACUGUAACAUAAUAAACUCAAUAAAGGGCUCUUGUUUCUAUAUAGGUAUUCUCCUAUGGAACAUUCUUCUGUGUAAUUAUUAUUACGUAUUGCCUUGUAUAAAAUCCAACUGCUGGAGAGGUGAUUUAAAUUCAGUCCCUAUGUUUACGUAAUAAGAAAACACUCCUGAUAAACAGUGCAACCCUUUGAGGAACAUCAUGAAAAGAAAAGAGUUAUCUGUUCCAAGAGUCUGACUCCAGUGCAGAUGUACAGGGCUGUGUCUGGAGAGGAAAAUUAAUAGCUCCAUUUCCUUUCUUCCCUCUUUCUAUCUGAUAAGAGAUGCUCUCCUGGGAUGGAGAGGGCAGUCUUGGAAGGAGGCUGGAGGCCUGUGGAGGGAGAGGGACCAGGACUGACACGCUCAGAAACUCAUCAACCACACCUGGUUUCUGCAUCCGUUAUGGAACCAGAUGUGCAAAUACUGCCUCCGAGCGGAUUACCAACAGCACCAGGCACUGGAGGGAAGCUGAGCCUUCCACAUGUUCCUUCUCAUUGUCAUGCUGGCAGAGUCCAGCCAGGCUCCUGUGACACACGGACGCCCAUAUACAUCCCUGAUUCUCACCUUGCCAGACCUGGGAGCCAUCGAUACGAAUGGGGAGCUCAGACUUCGAGCCCCUGACAAGGCCGUGACCCCAGACUCCCAGGACCCCAAGGAGCCUGCAUCGCACCCUCCCACCCAAGCUGCUCUGCGUUCACUGGGCAAUUCUGGGAAAAACUCAAAAUGUGCAGAAUUGCACUCCUAUUGAUCAUCCUAAAAUACAUGUAGCUAUGGGUUUUGGAAGACAUGCUCAAUCUGUGCUACAUGCAACAAGCGUAUCUCUGCUCCAGAGGACAUACCCAACCAGAUCCAAGGAAAUAUCCUCCCCGGGAUAUGGAGCCACCACCAAAACCUGUUGGGGAAGGCUACAGCGCCACGGGGAAUAUGGGAUGAACAUGCGAAUCUACUCUGUUUACAUUUAUCUCUUAUCUACAAAACCCACAACAGAACGGACCAGGCUUUACCAUUUACUACGUGGACUGUUUUGGCUGUGUGCAGGCAG
Molecule: long non-coding RNA, 2316 nt
Filed under: Sus scrofa (pig)
Lineage: Eukaryota; Metazoa; Chordata; Mammalia; Artiodactyla; Suidae
Description: lncRNA (ENSSSCG00040019027.1)
Source: RNAcentral